UCCAAUUGUUUUCACAAUUUUCUUGUUAGGAAGAACAAGAAAAGACUAAAACUAAACUCUAAAUGCUAAAAUUUGAUAAGAACUCUUCCUAAUGACUAACUCCUCUCUUGUCUAAUGAUUCUUACAUAUAUAAUGUUAAGAGAGUCAAAAAAUGUCCAAUGACAAGACAUGAAGCUUCCAUUCCACUCCCCUAGGGUUUCUUGAACAUGUGCAGUCGAAAUUCUGAGCUGGAAUUGAGUUGGAAAGUAAUACGAAAAUAGAGCAAGUUGCAGAAAAUUUGUGCACAAUAUGCGACUUUCACCCGUGUUUUCUAAGGUCGCAUAUUGUCUUCAAAUACGUUUUCUUGCUUCUUUUCUACUCCAAUUCAAUUCUAAGACUCAAAACAAGAUGUCUUCCGUUGAGUUCAUGCAUUGCUCCAAGAAUGAUUGCCUUGAAUAACCAACUUUCUUUCCAAAUUAUCGUUAAAUCAAGCUCUAAUAGAUUUGAAGUGUGUACUACUUGAUCCAACAUUUAAUAACUCUUCUCAAUUCCUGUAAAUAUAACCAAUAUUUGCACAUUAGGUUGCCCAAAUGAAAUUCACAAAAUUUUAGAAACUUAGGGAGCAAUUACAACUUAAAUCAUCAUAAGUUGUAUAAAAAAAUAAGCACAAAAUACUACUUAAUAAUACUAAUAAUAAACACUUAUCACUCGCGUCAGGACUCACUCAUAUGAGAGAUAACAUUUAUAUAGACCAAACUAUUAAUAAACCAUUCACUCUCAAGUACGUAUUCCAUCAAAACAAAAGUUGUCUUAAACUAUUUAAUAUGUACAUCCCUCAAAAGAAAGUGUGCAAAGCUUUAACGUUAAUUACAAAAUUCAUUUAAGCACAAAUUCAAGUCUCCAACUUAUACUACCGGCCUCUUCUCUUCCCCCCCCCCCGGCGUCCUCCACUCCUGUAAGGAAAACAACUAAAGGGGUUGAGCUAAUACCCAGUGAGGUUCCAAGUACAUCCAGUAGUCCAAUAGAAUCACAUAGCUCACAACCCAACAAAACAACACAUUACAACAAUUAAUAUUCUAAAACAAGUAACACAGUUAAUAUGAAAGGAUACGGUACUGAUACGGACUCUAGAGGUGGCUCUCGUCCAUUUUCAGACGUAGCACUUAGCUCCAUUUAGUAAUUCAAUGUCAUUUCCCAUGUUAAACAGUAACCAACAUUCUCCUUUCUUCCAAUGUUCGAUGAUCACUUUAGUGGGUUAUACUCGAGUAUACCAAUAAACAAUACCCAAGGACUAUCGACCUACUCGACCAAACUCAUUGUUGGCUCGAAUAGGCCAACCAUCGAUAGGGUUUGGGCCCAAAACAGUCAUGCAUAGUUAAUAGUAGCAGUUAAACAAUUAAUAGCUUCCAAGAGCAGUUAGGUCGAGUGCAAUAGAAUACACACUCGCUUUUCAACCAAUUUUUCACUCUAAACUAUUCAAACGUCAAUAAUCCAACAAGUAUCAGUCAACUAGGCACUUAACAUUUAUCACUCAUCAAUUAUUCAAUCACUACAAACAAAUGUAGAACACUCACUCAAAGUAGUUACAGUUCACUCCUCGGUGCUCGGUCCGUCCUCCGGUUCACCCUCAGCCUUCGGGAUAUUUGUAAAUUUAUUAGAUUAUUUGUUAAAUUUCGUAAAGUGAUGAUUAAGUGUAAUACUUGAUGAUAUUAAGGGUCUAAGUGAUUAUUCUAGCUUUUUAGGCUUACUUGAUUCUUUUAACUAAACUCAACUUAAUAUGAUACAAUUGGCUAAAAGUGUAUAUAUACCUAUAUGUAUGAUCCAAGAUGUUUAAAUGUAUGCAUAGAGUUUUGAGGUAAUCUUAAUACUUAUCUUGUUCUAGUAACCUUAUAUUUCCAAAGUUUAGGUAACUUAACCCACUUAAAUCUUAAAAUUCUAUGUUUCAUCGAAAUAUAGUAAGUUAAGGUGAUUAAGUGGUAGCUACAACUUACACUUUCUUAUAAAAGUUGGAAUCUAGGUCUUAAGGGUCAUUUUAGAAAUCAAAAUUCAAAGUUGAUAAAUUUCCUAGAGAUUGGCAGCUUAGUAUUCCUAUGAACUUUCUUUAUUUCAUCCUAUUUUUGGAUGAAUUUUUCACAGUAAAACUGUUAUAAGAUAGUUUGAAGAGGUUUUGAUCAAUUUUGGUUCAAGUUCCAUUUUAGAAUUCAAAGUUAAAAUCUAAACACUUGUUUUAGAAUGGUUCGAAACAGUUUUGCAACAAUGGGUAGUCAAGUUUCUUCCUUUAAUUUGCUAUAUUCUUGGUUAAACUUCCUCAAAUUCAAGGUACAUUUCACUAUCAUUCUGUUAUAGAUUAUUUUUUGUUAAGACUUAACUAAAAUUUCCAGAAAAACUCAGUAAUUCAACCGAAAUCAUCCAGUCAACUCAAAUCUGUCAAAACAGUUUCGCAUGCUAGACCGGCUCCCAUUUCUUUCUCUAAGAUUCAGUUAUUUCCUCCUAAAUCAGGACAACCACAAUAUACAGAGUAAAACAAAGGAUUAGGUUGUUUUUGAUCAAUAUAUGCAUAAAUUUCAGGUUACAAGAUGAAAUCUAACCUUGAGAAAACACAACAGCAUUCUCGGGUUCAAAGUUGGGAUUUCCAGCCAUAUGUCUUCACCAAAUUUUCAUUCAAUGUAUCAAACAUAACCAAAUUCGACAUGCAUUCACUUAUAUACUAAAAUGAGGUCAUGAAAUUUUGAAAUUCAACAAAACUCUCCAAUAAAUUUCAGUUUUUAAAACCAAAAGUUCAGCUAGCUUAACUGGACAAACUAUCAAACUAUCUCACAGCCUUGCAGUCUUUGUAUGAUCAUUUCAGCCCCUGCAAAUCCAAUUUUUACCAAGAAACUUGCAUGCAACCACAAAUACAGCAUAUACAGAGCACAUAACAUGAUUUUCCAGCCAAUUUCCUCCAAAACACCCAUUCAAAACUAGAAGAUUCAUCAUCGGCUAAGCUAGAAAUUUUCCAGCAGCCAUGCAAUCCUCCAAACAAGAAUUCCAGUCACAAAAGUCAAGAUUUUCACCAUAAAAACUCACAUGCUUGCUAAGAUUGAAGUGUUAGAAGGUAUAUGGAGUCACGAUAUGUCAAUUUACAACCAAAGUUUUAGAUAUAAAGUUAGAAAAAUCCCAACUUCUCUCCCACGAGUUCCAACAGAAAAUUCUAGCAAGUUUCUUCAAGCUUUCAUCCAAAGUCACCAACUUUCCACUAGAUUCAAUGGUAAAACAUUCUAUAUAUCAUAUAAAGAAAUAGAUAAGACAUAUAUCAUGAACUCCUAGUAAAAUUCCUCCAAAAUUUAGAAUGAAAAGCUGUGAAACUAAGCUCUCUUUUCCCCUCUGCCAAAGCUGGAAAUUUCUAGCAAGAAAUCAGUCUUCAAGUAAGGUUUUCUCUAGCAAAACUCCUCUUUUCUUCACUCAAAUUCAACAUGCAACAAGUACCUAGGUAUAUGGAGAGAAUGGAGGGUGUGGUUAGCAAAUUUUAACUCUUUUCCCCUGCCAAUAAAAGCUGGAAAUGCAGAAUCAGCUUCACCCCUUUCCCUCUCAGUUUUCAAGCAGCAAGUUGUCCAGAAAUUUCCAGCUUUUGGAUGAAAUUUCUCCAACUAAACCUCUUUUCUUGGUUCUAAUUCAAUCUAAGACACAACUAACUAAAAGUAGAAGGAAAAAGACGAAGAACUUAGUAAAUUACCUCUUAUUUCUUCAUGGUUUUGGGCUGGAAAAUUUUCUGGUCUCUCUCUCUUGAUUCCCUUAGCUAAAUGAGUUGAAGUUGUUUCUUGUUUCUUGGCUGGUGUUCCACAGUUGAAGAAGGAUGGAAGCUUCACGUUUUCUCUUGGUCUCUCAACUCUCUCUUUCUCUCUCAGUUUUAGAAGUGAUCGAGACAAGAAUGAACUAAAAUUGGUGUUUGGGAGGUUUUGUCUUGACAUAUCUUGC
Molecule: long non-coding RNA, 3933 nt
Filed under: Coffea arabica (coffee)
Lineage: Eukaryota; Viridiplantae; Streptophyta; Magnoliopsida; Gentianales; Rubiaceae
Description: long non-coding RNA (CARA_LNC000519)
Source: RNAcentral